CUACGGGGGGCUGAAGUGAGGAAUAUUGCACAAUGGGGGGAACCCUGAUGCAGCAAUGCCGCGUGGAGGAUGACGCAUUUCGGUGUGUAAACUCCUUUUAUAUGUCAAGAAAAUGACGGUAGCAUAUGAAUAAGCACCGGCUAACUCCGUGCCAGCAGCCGCGGUAAUACGGAGGGUGCAAGCGUUACUCGGAAUCACUGGGCGUAAAGGACGCGUAGGCGGGUUGGAAAGUCAGGUGUGAAAGCCUACAGCUUAACUGUAGAACUGCACUUGAAACUUCUAAUCUAGAGUAUGGGAGGGGGAGAUGGAAUUAGUGGUGUAGGGGUAAGAUCCGUAGAUAUCACUAGGAAUACCUAAAGCGAAGGCGAUCUCCUGGAACAUUACUGACGCUAAGGCGUGAAAGCGUGGGGAGCAAACAGGAUUAGAUACCCGUGUAGUC
RNAcentral lists this ribosomal RNA (439 nucleotides) under uncultured bacterium. Its description in RNAcentral is "partial 16S ribosomal RNA". It matches the Rfam family "Bacterial small subunit ribosomal RNA", at positions 339 to 795 of the family's 1533-position model. The record is from RNAcentral.